This 460-nucleotide ribosomal RNA is filed under the name uncultured bacterium. RNAcentral describes it as "partial 16S ribosomal RNA". It matches the Rfam family "Bacterial small subunit ribosomal RNA", at positions 338 to 795 of the family's 1533-position model. The record is from RNAcentral.
CCUACGGGUGGCAGCAGUGAGGAAUAUUGGUCAAUGGGCGCUAGCCUGAACCAGCCAAGUAGCGUGAAGGAUGACUGCCCUGUGGGUUGUAAACUUCUUUUAUAUGGGAAUAAAGUGCAGUACGUGUACUCCGUUGCAUGUACCUUAUGAAUAAGCAUCGGCUAACUCCGUGCCAGCAGCCGCGGUAAUACGGAGGAUCCGGGCGUUAUCCGGAUUUAUUGGGUUUAAAGGGAGCGUAGGCGGGUUGUUAAGUCAGUUGUGAAAGUUUGCGGCUCAACCGUAAAAUUGCAGUUGAAACUGGCAUCCUUGAGUACAGUAGAGGUAGGCGGAAUGCGUGGUGUAGCGGUGAAAUGCUUAGAUAUCACGAAGAACUCCGAUUGCGAAGGCAGCCUGCUGGCCUGUAACUGACGCUGAUGCACGAAAGUGUGGGUAGCGAACAGGAUUAGAUACCCGAGUAGUC